CAGCCGCCGCGGGAAUACGUAGGGUGCAAGCGUUAAUCGGAAUUACUGGGCGUAAAGCGUGCGCAGGCGGUCCGCUAAGACAGAUGUGAAAUCCCCGGGCUUAACCUGGGAACUGCAUUUGUGACUGGCGGGCUAGAGUAUGGCAGAGGGGGAUGGAAUUCCGCGUGUAGCAGUGAAAUGCGUAGAUAUGCGGAGGAACACCGAUGGCGAAGGCAAUCCCCUGGGCCUGUACUGACGCUCAUGCACGAAAGCGUGGGGAGCAAACAGGAUUAGAUACCCGUGUAGUCCCUGUCUCUUAUAC
Molecule: ribosomal RNA, 301 nt
Filed under: uncultured bacterium
Lineage: Bacteria
Description: partial 16S ribosomal RNA
Rfam family: Bacterial small subunit ribosomal RNA
Source: RNAcentral